CAGUAGCCGCGGGAAUACGUAGGGGGCAAGCGUUAUCCGGAAUUACUGGGUGUAAAGGGAGCGUAGACGGUUAAACAAGUCUGAAGUGAAAUGCCGGGGCUCAACCCCGGAGCUGCUUUGGGAACUGUAGAACUGGAGUGUCGGAGGGGUAAGCGGAAUUCCCAGUGUAGCGGUGAGAUGCGUAGAUAUUGGGAGGAACACCGGCGGCGAAGGCGGCUUACUGGACGACAACUGACGUUGAGGCUCGAAGGCGUGGGUAGCAAACAGGAUUAGAUACCCCAGUAGUCCCUGUCUCUUAUAC
This 301-nucleotide ribosomal RNA is filed under the name uncultured bacterium. Its description in RNAcentral is "partial 16S ribosomal RNA". It matches the Rfam family "Bacterial small subunit ribosomal RNA", at positions 509 to 807 of the family's 1533-position model. The record is from RNAcentral.